UCUACAUUUUUGUGCCAUUGUAUGUCACUU
RNAcentral lists this non-coding RNA (30 nucleotides) under Mus musculus (house mouse). Lineage: Eukaryota; Metazoa; Chordata; Mammalia; Rodentia; Muridae. The record is from RNAcentral.